UUACCAAAAAAGACUGAUGUGCUAGCAACAAACAUAUUAUGAUGAUAUGCAAAUGCCAGAAGAUGAUUAUAUUGUGUAUUACUGAUAACAUUUAACAGAUGUUUAGAAGGAUAAGGGCCCCGUCACACUAAGUAUGAAUGAGCACGAGCCAAGCCAAAUCAGGCGAAAUGUAAAAAAAAAAACAAAAAAAA
Molecule: long non-coding RNA, 191 nt
Organism: Thalassophryne amazonica
Lineage: Eukaryota; Metazoa; Chordata; Actinopteri; Batrachoidiformes; Batrachoididae
Exons: 3
Source: RefSeq, a predicted model, not a curated record